UACGUAGGUGGCGAGCGUUGUCCGGAUUUACUGGGCGUAAAGGGCGUGCAGGCGGUUUGUUAAGUGCAGGGUGAAAGCUCCCGGCUCAACUGGGAGAGGUCCUUGCAUACUGGCGAACUCGAGGGAGGCAGAGGAAAGUGGAAUUCCCGGUGUAGUGGUGAUAUGCGCAGAUAUCAGGAGGAACACCGGUGGCGAAGGCGGGUCUCUGGGCAGUAACUGACGCUGAGGAGCGAAAGCGUGGGGAGCGAACAGG
RNAcentral lists this ribosomal RNA (253 nucleotides) under uncultured bacterium. RNAcentral's name for it is "partial 16S ribosomal RNA". It matches the Rfam family "Bacterial small subunit ribosomal RNA", at positions 524 to 776 of the family's 1533-position model. The record is from RNAcentral.